AGGGGAGUAGUUCAAUUGGUAGAGCGGCGGUCUCCAAAACCGUAGGUUGCGGGUUCGAGUCCUGCCUCCCCUGCCA
RNAcentral lists this transfer RNA (76 nucleotides) under Bacillota bacterium. RNAcentral describes it as "Firmicutes bacterium (anaerobic digester metagenome) tRNA-Trp". It matches the Rfam family "tRNA". Rfam says of the family: Transfer RNA (tRNA) molecules are approximately 80 nucleotides in length. Their secondary structure includes four short double-helical elements and three loops (D, anti-codon, and T loops). Lineage: Bacteria; Bacillati; Bacillota. The record is from RNAcentral.